This 1133-nucleotide long non-coding RNA is filed under the name Nicotiana benthamiana. RNAcentral describes it as "long non-coding RNA (NBEN_LNC012985)". Lineage: Eukaryota; Viridiplantae; Streptophyta; Magnoliopsida; Solanales; Solanaceae. The record is from RNAcentral.
UGUUCUAUCUCAUCCAGCCUAAGCUCGUCAAACCCUGUUUCACUAUCCAGAUUCUGACCAAUAGCAGAAAAUUCACCAUUGUCCUACAGAGGUUGUAGUAAACAGAUUACGAACUUGUGAAAUUAGGAAAUUAUUUGAACAAGAGUUAAUAGGAGAUAAAAAACUCACCAUUGUCCUACAGAGGUUGUAGUAAACAGAUUACGAACUUGUGAAAUUAGGAAAUUAUUUGAACAAGAGUUAAUAGGAGAUAGUAUCUAUCAACAGAAUGAUUGUGAAUUAACUUAUAUUCCAAAACCUCAAUGCAUAAAAUCCAACACAACAGAAAUCUGCACAUUUGUCAUUGCCAUUAAUAGCGAUAGGUCCCAAAGAAUUAAAGCCUUUCCAAAAGUCAGGAUAGAUGUAGCUAAAAAAACCCGUUUAGAUUAAUGUAAGCGAAACAACAGGAUAGAAACAGGUUCACCAUUCAAUUGGAUGCUACAAUGAGUGGGAUAAAGAGUCAUAGCAUCUUUAAGAUUCCAAAUGAUUAUAAACUGAUGGAUAAAAACGUUCAUCAUGGGCGCAUCAGGUAGGUUGGGCUAUCGAUAAGCUGUAGAUACAAUCUCCUACAUUGAUCAGUAUCAACAUAGAAAUGCCCAGGUGUUCCCUGCUUGAUGCUGGACUGUAGGCAUAUUGAAGUGCUUCUCAAAACCAGGUAUGCAUUUAGAGCCUUGAUAAACCCUGAGAGUAGAGGGGUCUCUUAACAUAAAAAUCUUUUCUGAAUGCGAUAGCUGUCUGCCUGCAAAUACAUAUUUUGGGCACUCUUAUCUAAGUCUAUAUAUUCAGUUUCCAUACAGAUAGGAGUAAACACAUGUCAGCCUCGGCCAAAUUGACCUGAAAUAGUCAUCAUAAUCAAGUCAUAGCCUUCUUCGUUCUCACCUAUGUUGGAGAUGAACAAAAGAGGCCCUAAUACGAAAACUCCCAGGCAAGAUAAACCAAUUUAAAUUUUGAACAACCGGCAAUCAUCAAGAAUCAACAAAGUUGACCAUUCGUCAGAAGCCCAGAAAAAGGAGGAAAAUUUUGUAGACCGUUGCUUGAUACAUUUUUUACAAGACAAAGACAAAGAAAAGGUCGUCCUCAUCAUCAAUGAGAUAAAU